GACGAACGCUGGCGGCGUGCCUAAUACAUGCAAGUAGAACGCUGAAGAGAGGAGCUUGCUCUUCUUGGAUGAGUUGCGCACGGGUGAGUAACGCGUAGGUAACCUGUCUUGUAGCGGGGGACAACUAUUGGAAACGAUAGCUAAUACCGCAUAACAAUGGAUGACACAUGUCAUUUAUAUGAAAGGGGCAAUUGCUCCACUACAAGAUGGACCUGCGUUGUAUUAGCUAUUAGGUGAGGUAAUGGCUCACCUAGGCGACGAUACAUAGCCGACCUGAGAGGGUGAUCGGCGCCACUGGGACUGAGACACGGCCCAGACUCCUACGGGAGGCAGAGGUGUGGGAUAUUCGGCACUGGGGGCGACCCUGACAGAGAGACGCCGCGUGAGUGAGGAGGGUUUUCGGAUCGUAAAGCUCUGUUGUAAGUCAAGAGCGGGUGUGGGAGUAGAAAGUUCACAGUGUGACGGUAGCUUACCAGAAAGGGACGGCUAACUACGUG
Molecule: ribosomal RNA, 497 nt
Filed under: uncultured bacterium
Lineage: Bacteria
Description: partial 16S ribosomal RNA
Rfam family: Bacterial small subunit ribosomal RNA
Source: RNAcentral